UACGUAGGGUGCAAGCGUUAAUCGGAAUUACUGGGCGUAAAGCGUGCGCAGGCGGUUAUGUAAGACAGUUGUGAAAUGCCCGGGCUUAACCUGGGAACUGCAUUUGUGACUGCAUGGCUAGAGUUUGGCAGAGGGGGGUAGAAUUCCACGUGUAGCAGUGAAAUGCGUAGAUAUGUGGAGGAACACCGAUGGCGAAGGCAGCCCCCUGGGUCAAGACUGACGCUCAUGCACGAAAGCGUGGGGAGCAAACAGG
RNAcentral lists this ribosomal RNA (253 nucleotides) under uncultured bacterium. RNAcentral describes it as "partial 16S ribosomal RNA". It matches the Rfam family "Bacterial small subunit ribosomal RNA", at positions 524 to 776 of the family's 1533-position model. The record is from RNAcentral.